UUUUUUUAGAUUUCAUGUUUAUUGAAAUAUAUUCGUUCAUUGACGUAUUAAAGAGAGAUAAUAGAGGUAAAAAUCAAAAAGAAGAGUCUGUAAUAAGAAGGUUUUUAAGACCGUAAAAAUUAGGGACUACAAAAAGAAGCUCAAGGGUUUUCAGCCGGGAGGCUGGAGACAGAAGAGAUUCGGAACGA
Molecule: unclassified non-coding RNA, 188 nt
Filed under: uncultured bacterium
Lineage: Bacteria
Description: partial 16S-23S ribosomal RNA intergenic spacer
Source: RNAcentral